Molecule: ribosomal RNA, 216 nt
Filed under: Glomeromycotina sp.
Lineage: Eukaryota; Fungi; Glomeromycota
Description: partial small subunit ribosomal RNA
Rfam family: Eukaryotic small subunit ribosomal RNA (bases 40-216)
Source: RNAcentral
GGGUCAGUAGGUUGGUCGUGCCACCGGUACGUACUGGUCUCACUGAUUCCUCCUUCCUGAAGAACCGUAAUGCCAUUAAUGUGGUGUUGCGGGGAAACAGGACUGUUACUUUGAAAAAAUUAGAGUGGUUAAAGCAAGCUAACGCUUGAAUACAUUAGCAUGGAAUAAUGAAAUAGGACGAUCGAUCCUAUUUUGUUGGUUUCUAGGAUUGACGUA